This 427-nucleotide ribosomal RNA is filed under the name uncultured bacterium. Its description in RNAcentral is "bacterial SSU rRNA". It matches the Rfam family "Bacterial small subunit ribosomal RNA", at positions 355 to 774 of the family's 1533-position model. The record is from RNAcentral.
UGGGGAAUUUUGGACAAUGGACGCAAGUCUGAUCCAGCCAUGCCGCGUGCGGGAAGAAGGCCUUCGGGUUGUAAACCGCUUUUGUCAGGGAAGAAACGAGUUUCUCUAAUACAGAGACUUAAUGACGGUACCUGAAGAAUAAGCACCGGCUAACUACGUGCCAGCAGCCGCGGUAAUACGUAGGGUGCGAGCGUUAAUCGGAAUUACUGGGCGUAAAGCGUGCGCAGGCGGUUAUGUAAGACAGAUGUGAAAUCCCCGGGCUCAACCUGGGACCUGCAUUUGUGACUGUAUAGCUAGAGUACGGUAGAGGGGGAUGGAAUUCCGCGUGUAGCAGUGAAAUGCGUAGAUAUGCGGAGGAAUACCGGUGGCGAAGGCGGCCCCCUGGACAAAGACUGACGCUCAGGUGCGAAAGCGUGGGGAGCAAACA